AUGGAGCACUGGAUAAUAGUAGUAAUUAUCCACAAGACCAGGACUGUCAUCGACGCCACCACGGUGCUAAACAACACCACCUCCCUGCACGCGUCCAUCAAUACACCUCCACCGCCAAGACCCUGCCGCGCCACGCCGCCGAGAUCCAUCGUCUUCGAUGCAGUAAAUGAAACACUGGUCCACCACUUGUCUCCCCCAUCCAGCAACCGAUCCAAAAACAAUGCCCCCAUGAGGGAGAGCACCGCCUCCAGCGCCGCCAUCGUCCGAACCGGGAAACUGGGUCUAUGUUCUCACCCGGAGCAGUGCAAGCAAGUCGACAGUAGCUGA
Molecule: ribosomal RNA, 327 nt
Filed under: Triticum aestivum (bread wheat)
Lineage: Eukaryota; Viridiplantae; Streptophyta; Magnoliopsida; Poales; Poaceae
Description: partial small subunit ribosomal RNA
Source: RNAcentral